This 253-nucleotide ribosomal RNA is filed under the name uncultured bacterium. RNAcentral describes it as "partial 16S ribosomal RNA". It matches the Rfam family "Bacterial small subunit ribosomal RNA", at positions 524 to 776 of the family's 1533-position model. The record is from RNAcentral.
UACGUAGGGUGCAAGCGUUGUCCGGAAUUAUUGGGCGUAAAGAGCUCGUAGGCGGCUUGUCGCGUCGGCUGUGAAAACCCGAGGCUUAACCUCGGGCUGGCGGUGGAUACGGGCAGACUAGAGGUAGGUAGGGGAGAAUGGAAUUCCCGGUGUAGCGGUGAAAUGCGCAGAUAUCGGGAGGAACACCGGUGGCGAAGGCGGUUCUCUGGGCCUUACCUGACGCUGAGGAGCGAAAGCGUGGGGAGCGAACAGG